RNAcentral lists this ribosomal RNA (460 nucleotides) under uncultured bacterium. RNAcentral's name for it is "partial 16S ribosomal RNA". It matches the Rfam family "Bacterial small subunit ribosomal RNA", at positions 338 to 795 of the family's 1533-position model. The record is from RNAcentral.
CCUACGGGAGGCAGCAGUGAGGAAUAUUGGUCAAUGGACGAGAGUCUGAACCAGCCAAGUAGCGUGAAGGAUGACUGCCCUAUGGGUUGUAAACUUCUUUUAUAUGGGAAUAAAACGUUCCACGUGUGGGAUUUUGUAUGUACCAUAUGAAUAAGGAUCGGCUAACUCCGUGCCAGCAGCCGCGGUAAUACGGAGGAUCCGAGCGUUAUCCGGAUUUAUUGGGUUUAAAGGGAGCGUAGGUGGAUUGUUAAGUCAGUUGUGAAAGUUUUCGGCUCAACCGUAAAAUUGCAGUUGAAACUGGCAGUCUUGAGUACAGUAGAGGUGGGCGGAAUUCGUGGUGUAGCGGUGAAAUGCUUAGAUAUCACGAAGAACUCCGAUUGCGAAGGCAGUUCACUGGACUGCAACUGACACUGAGGCUCGAAAGUGUGGGUAUCAAACAGGAUUAGAUACCCGAGUAGUC